Molecule: ribosomal RNA, 449 nt
Filed under: uncultured bacterium
Lineage: Bacteria
Description: partial 16S ribosomal RNA
Rfam family: Bacterial small subunit ribosomal RNA
Source: RNAcentral
GUGGGGAAUUUUGGACAAUGGGCGCAAGCCUGAUCCAGCAAUGCCGCGUGCAGGAAGAAGGCCUUCGGGUUGUAAACUGCUUUUGUACGGAACGAAACGGUCCUGGUUAAUACCUGGGGCUAAUGACGGUACCGUAAGAAUAAGCACCGGCUAACUACGUGCCAGCAGCCGCGGUAAUACGUAGGGUGCGAGCGUUAAUCGGAAUUACUGGGCGUAAAGCGUGCGCAGGCGGUGCUGUAAGACAGGCGUGAAAUCCCCGGGCUCAACCUGGGAAUUGCGCUUGUGACUGCAGUGCUGGAGUACGGCAGAGGGGGAUGGAAUUCCGCGUGUAGCAGUGAAAUGCGUAGAUAUGCGGAGGAACACCGAUGGCGAAGGCAGUCCCCUGGGCCUGUACUGACGCUCAUGCACGAAAGCGUGGGAGCAAACAGGAUUAGAUACCCUUGUAGUCC